RNAcentral lists this ribosomal RNA (523 nucleotides) under uncultured bacterium. RNAcentral's name for it is "bacterial SSU rRNA". It matches the Rfam family "Bacterial small subunit ribosomal RNA", at positions 8 to 518 of the family's 1533-position model. The record is from RNAcentral.
AGAAUUGAUCUGGUUCAGGAUGAACGCUAGCUACAGGCUUAACACAUGCAAGGUCGAGGGGCAUCGAGAAGUUAGCUUGCUAACUUUGUCGGCGACCGGCGCACGGGUGAGUAACGCGUAUCCAACCUUCCCCUUAGUAGGGGAUAGCCCGGCGAAAGUCGGAUUAAUACCCUAUGUUAUCCGAAGAGGACAUCUGAAUUGGAUCAAAGGUUUACCGCUAAGGGAUGGGGAUGCGUCUGAUUAGGUAGUAGGCGGGGUAACGGCCCACCUAGCCAACGAUCAGUAGGGGUUCUGAGAGGAAGGUCCCCCACAUUGGAACUGAGACACGGUCCAAACUCCUACGGGAGGCAGCAGUGAGGAAUAUUGGUCAAUGGGCGAGAGCCUGAACCAGCCAAGUAGCGUUGCAGGAUGACGGCCCUAUGGGUUGUAAACUGCUUUUAUGGCGGGGAAUAAAAUUCGUCACGUGUGGCGUUUUGCAGGUACCGCAUGAAUAAGGACCGGCUAAUUCCGUGCCAGCCGCCGC